This 251-nucleotide ribosomal RNA is filed under the name uncultured bacterium. RNAcentral's name for it is "partial 16S ribosomal RNA". It matches the Rfam family "Bacterial small subunit ribosomal RNA", at positions 524 to 776 of the family's 1533-position model. The record is from RNAcentral.
GACGGGGGGGGCAAGUGUUCUUCGGAAUGACUGGGCGUAAAGGGCACGUAGGCGGUGAAUCAGGUUGAAAGUGAAAGUCGCCAAAAAGUGGCGGAAUGCUCUCGAAACCAAUUCACUUGAGUGAGACAGAGGAGAGUGGAAUUUCGUGUGUAGGGGUGAAAUCCGUAAAUAUACGAAGGAACGCCAAAAGCGAAGGCAGCUCUCUGGGUCCCUACCGACGCUGGGGUGCGAAAGCAUGGGGAGCGAACAGG